This 303-nucleotide long non-coding RNA is filed under the name Homo sapiens (human). Its description in RNAcentral is "HSALNT0154511". Lineage: Eukaryota; Metazoa; Chordata; Mammalia; Primates; Hominidae. The record is from RNAcentral.
GUAUUGCAGCAGAGCGAUGUCAGGAAGCUCAUCCAGAGGUCUGGAUGCUACCAAUGGACUUCAGAGACCACUUGACUUCUCCUAGAGUCAGAAACUAAGCUGGACCCUGAUUUCUGUGGAGGAGCCGGAGAGUGAGAGUUAAGUCUGCUAGAUGAUGACAGAUGGGACCAGGCUGGGGCAAGACACUGGAGACAGAGAUGGAACGAAGAUAAGCCAACUUUCCAGACCAAACUCCUCUCACUCAGGCCAUGGGAAAAGUAAGUCAUUUCCAGGGUCCAGGAGGUCUGAAGAUAUUCAAGCUUC